GAUGAACGCUGGCGGCGUGCCUAAUACAUGCCAGUCGAGCGAACAGAUGAGGAGCUUGCUCCUCUGACGUUAGCGGCGGACGGGUGAGUAACACGUGGAUAACCUACCUAUAAGACUGGGAUAACUUCGGGAAACCGGAGCUAAUACCGGAUAAUAUAUUGAACCGCAUGGUUCAAUAGUGAAAGACGGUUUUGCUGUCACUUAUAGAUGGAUCCGCGCCGCAUUAGCUAGUUGGUAAGGUAACGGCUUACCAAGGCAACGAUGCGUAGCCGACCGGAGAGGGUGGUCGGCCACCCUGGAACUGAGACACGGUCCACACUCCUACGGGAAGCAACAGUAGGGAAUCUUCCGCAAGGGGCGAAAGCGUGACGGAGCAACGCCGCCGGAGUGAUGAAGGUCUUCGGAUCGUAAAACUCUGUUAUUAGGGAAGAACAAAUGUGUAAGUAACUAUGCACGUCUUGACGGUACCUAAUCAGAAAGCCACGGCUAACUACGUG
Molecule: ribosomal RNA, 497 nt
Filed under: uncultured bacterium
Lineage: Bacteria
Description: partial 16S ribosomal RNA
Rfam family: Bacterial small subunit ribosomal RNA
Source: RNAcentral